Molecule: ribosomal RNA, 703 nt
Filed under: uncultured fungus
Lineage: Eukaryota; Fungi
Description: eukaryotic LSU rRNA
Rfam family: Eukaryotic large subunit ribosomal RNA
Source: RNAcentral
CCCGCUGAACUUAAGCAUAUCAGUAAGCGGAGGAAAAGAAACUAACAAGGAUUCCCCUAGUAGCGGCGAGUGAAGCGGGAUCAGCUCAAAUUUUAAAUCUCAGACAGCAAUGUCUGCGAAUUGUAUUCUAUAGAAUGAGUGUUACCGAUAGGAUGCAAUCACAAGUUGCCUGGAAUGGUAUGCCAGAGAGGGUGAGAGCCCCGUGGUGAUUGUAGAAUAUUUCUACACAUUCAUUCGACGAGUCGAGUUGUUUGGGAAUGCAGCUCAAAGUGGGUGGUAAAUCUCAUCCAAGGCUAAAUAUUGGCAAGAGACCGAUAGCGAACAAGUACCGUGAGGGAAAGAUGAAAAGAACCUUGAAAAGGGAGUUAAACAGUGCGUGAAAUUGUUAAAAGGGAAACGAUAGUGGUUAGUGUUUGAUAUAGUCCUGCGAGUAUGGCUUUGGUUGUAUUCAAUGUCUAUGUCAGAGUCAACGCUGGUUAUGUUGGUUGGAUAUGUUUGGGAAAAAGAUGGACACUUUCGAGUGUCUUUAUAGUUUCUCAAUACUGCAAUUGAUGUGACUGGACGAUGCAGAGUAAUGCUUUCAAAGGGUUUGUUUGUGUAUGAGCUUGUUCAGCACGCUGAUCAAUUUCAUUCAUAUUCCAUCUCUUGAUCUCGGACUUUGCUGUUGACAAAAUGACCUCUAACGACCCGUCUUGAAACACGG